GAAAUGCAGCUUUUCGUAUUCUGGUAACUUCAAUCACUGUGUCACCCUCAUUGAGAAGAUCUCCGAUCGUCAAAUUACAAAGAUGGCGGCGUGGACAGCGGCGGCGCGUCAAGCUUCAGCCCUCUCUCGACUAUCGGCUUCCAAAUCAGUGAACACAACCCGCCAAGGCGCACUCCUCAUCCAGCGGCGCGGUCUAUCCGGCGGUGGUGACCAUCAUGGUCCUCCAAAGGUGGACUUUUGGCAGGAUCCAAUGAGCCCAUCAAAAUGGAAAGAAGAGCAUUUUGUGAUAGUGUCUCUUACUGGUUGGGGUUUGGCCUUCUAUGGAGGUUAUAAGCUCUUCACAGGAGGAAAGAAAGAGAAGAAGGAAGAGAAAUGAUCACACUGACGUCAGGUUGUCUCUAUUCACCGGCAAUAAAGUAGUGUAAGUUGCUAGGUCUUUGUGGCCUUGUUCAAGCCAAUAUGAGGAUGUAAUUUGUCGUCCCCUAUCCAUUCCAUUCUAGCUUUGAACUUCGAGUUGUACAUGAAAUGUUGGUCUAACAAUCAACUAUGAGUUCUUUUCCUGAAUUGAUAAUCCAUUUAAUAACUAUCACCAUGAGUAUGUUGAGGAGAUGCA
Molecule: long non-coding RNA, 613 nt
Organism: Solanum tuberosum (potato)
Lineage: Eukaryota; Viridiplantae; Streptophyta; Magnoliopsida; Solanales; Solanaceae
Exons: 4
Source: RefSeq, a predicted model, not a curated record